Grammomys surdaster is the source of this 298-nucleotide long non-coding RNA. RefSeq lists it as uncharacterized. NCBI's taxonomy places the organism in Eukaryota, Metazoa, Chordata, Mammalia, Rodentia, Muridae. The record is from RefSeq and is a predicted model, not a curated record. The transcript is spliced from 2 exons.
AACAAAACUCACACAGGCCUCUAUUUUCUUUUCCAUAGGUGCUGGAGAUGGAGGCCAGGCAUCUGUCACACAAGGUUAGGAGAAAGUGAGCUGAACACCGGCCUUCAUCUCUCUGCGCCCUGACUGUGAAUGCCACGUGACCAGAUGGUUCACACUCCUGAACACCUGCAUUCAUCUCUCUGCACCCUGACUGUGAAUGCCACAUGACCGGAUGGUUCACACACCCACCGCACCUGUCCCUGCUUUGAUGACUGUGUACCACCAAGCUAUGAGCCAAAAUAAACACUCCUUCCUUUAA